AGUGAACGCUGGCGGUAGGCCUAACACAUGCAAGUCGAACGGCAGCACAGUAAGAGCUUGCUCUUACGGGUGGCGAGUGGCGGACGGGUGAGGUAUACAUCGGAAUCUACUUUUUCGUGGGGGAUAACGUAGGGAAACUUACGCUAAUAUCGCAUACGACCUUCGGGUGAAAGCAGGGGAUCUUCGGACCGUUCGCGAUUGAAUGAGCCGAUGUCGGAUUGGCUAGUUGGCGGGGGAAAGGCCCACCAAGUGGACGAUCCGUAGCUGAUCUGAGAGGAUGGUCAGCCACACUGGAACUGAGACACGGUCCAGACUCCUACGGGAGGCAGCAGUGGGGAAUAUUGGACAAUGGGCGCAAGCCUGAUCCAGCCAUACCGCGUGGGUGAAGAAGGCCUUCGGGUUGUAAAGCCCUUUUGUUGGGAAAGAAAAGCAGCAGGUUAAUACCCCGCUGUUCUGACGGUACCCAAAGAAUAAGCACCGGCUAACUUCGUG
This 492-nucleotide ribosomal RNA is filed under the name uncultured bacterium. Its description in RNAcentral is "partial 16S ribosomal RNA". It matches the Rfam family "Bacterial small subunit ribosomal RNA", at positions 29 to 507 of the family's 1533-position model. The record is from RNAcentral.